UAUCCUAUUCGUUGCACAACAUUUACUAGAGAUAAAUAUAGUGCAGGUAGACCUUGCAUUUGCUUCUGAUGAUACCCUUCAGAACUGACCUUCAGUUCUCCUGUAAUCUCAUUGCAGGGUCUUACUUGGGCAGAAGUUACCAAAUUGUACUAAAUUAUAGUGAGCUGUGGUGGUCUGGAGAUAACAAGAAUCUAUACAAUACACAAAUGCACCACCAAGGUGUGACGUUUCUGAGUUUGUUGGUGUUUAUGCUCUGAAUGAGUUAACAGAUUAGAUCUUCUGAACGUUCUUUCUCUGGGUCUCUCAUACAGAAGUGAGUACAACCAUAUUGUAUCAGUUGUUAUAUUUGCCACAGACCAAAUGAAUAUCCUUUUAACUCUUUACAGGAUGUCUAAAUUGAGAUUAAGAAAGGAUUUUGGUGUUCAUGCAGUUACUGAACGGUCUGGUUGUCAUUUCAUUUGCAAGGGAAAAAAAAAAAGAAAAAAAAUAAUUAGAACUUGGGUAUAAUUUUUAUAUUGGAGUGUGCUGUAACUUCUAACACACCAUAAAAAGGCAAUGGGUAUG
RNAcentral lists this long non-coding RNA (564 nucleotides) under Anas platyrhynchos platyrhynchos (common mallard). Its description in RNAcentral is "lncRNA (ENSAPLG00000019957.1)". Lineage: Eukaryota; Metazoa; Chordata; Aves; Anseriformes; Anatidae. The record is from RNAcentral.